RNAcentral lists this long non-coding RNA (1007 nucleotides) under Populus tremula. RNAcentral's name for it is "long non-coding RNA (PTRE_LNC002685)". Lineage: Eukaryota; Viridiplantae; Streptophyta; Magnoliopsida; Malpighiales; Salicaceae. The record is from RNAcentral.
CCACUUUCUGCUCCCUGCCGCCACCCAGGCUUUCGGUCGGUGUUGCAGGAGACGCCUUCAUCUCCUUUUUCCCCUCAGUCCAGUAGGAGCUUCUUCUCUUUUCAAUAUAGGCUUUCAGCCGGUGUUUCAGCAGCUUCCAUCAGCAACAUCCGGUCGGCAGAGAACUUGAGUCCCUUCUCUUCGGAUAGCAGCAGUAACCUCCUCUUCCCAGCAGCGGCAGUACUAUUUUCAGCAACUUGAUUUUCAGUCACAUCAUCAACGACCAAUGACAGCAUCUCCUCUCAACAAGCUGCCACUACGAGCAGCAGAAAUCCUCUUCUCAGCAAGCUACCAUCAUGAAUAGCAGAAGUAGUGUCCAACAUCUUAUCUUCAACCGAGAGCAGUAUCCAAUAGAGGUUCCCAUUGCCAGCAGAAGGUAAACACAGGGAGAAGAACGAACAAAAAAUAGGGAACAAACACAGGGGAAAUAACAGGGGGGAGUUCACAGAGAGGAGUACCAAAAAAAAGCAGAGAAACAAGGCAGGAAAAAAAAAUUAAAAAAGGGAGAAAACGAGAGAGAACGAGAGAACGCAGGACUUGCACUAAUAUAAUUAUAUAAGUAAUUGCUUUUGACAUAUACUGGAGAAUAAUUUAUCUGCAGUUCUGCAUAACUUGAACAGAGAAAAGAGAAAAGAGAUCGCACCUUAGCUCUACAGACGCCGCUUCGAUUGAAAACUGAAAAGUGAGGUUGCAGCCUUGCAGGAGCAGCAGAUCAAGACAGCAACAAAGAAGAGGAAAGAUUGGAGGGGAGUUCGUGAAACUGAAGAUGCCGAUUGUAAUUGUUUUGGUUGGGAACUUGAGUCUGCGAGGAGGAAGAGAAAUUAGGGAUUUGAUAUUUUUGGUUUAGUUUACUGUAGAGUUUAGACAUCAGCAAAAAAUAGCGUGGGUGUACUGUGCAGUUAAUGAAAAUGAACCAGGUUUAAUUUCGAGUUAAUCUUUGACUCGAUGGCUUUAACCCGAAACGGAAC